This 261-nucleotide ribosomal RNA is filed under the name uncultured bacterium. RNAcentral's name for it is "partial 16S ribosomal RNA". It matches the Rfam family "Bacterial small subunit ribosomal RNA", at positions 793 to 1055 of the family's 1533-position model. The record is from RNAcentral.
GUCCACGCUGUAAACGAUGAUUACUAGGUGUGGGGUCUGACCCUUCCGUGCCGGAGUUAACACAAUAAGUAAUCCACCUGGGAGUACGGCCGCAAGGUUGAAACUCAAAGGAAUUGACGGGCCCGCACAAGCAGUGGAGUAUGUGGUUUAAUUCGAAGCAACGCGAAGAACCUUACCAGGUCUUGACAUCCAACUAACGAAGUAGAGAUACAUUUAGGUGCCCUUCGGGGAAAGUUGAGACAGGUGGUGCAUGGUUGUCGU